UGCAAGUCGAACGGUGAAGCCCAGCUUGCUGGGUGGAUCAGUGGCGAACGGGUGAGUAACACGUGAGCAACCUGCCCUCCACUUCGGGAUAAGCCUUGGAAACGGGGUCUAAUACCGGAUAUGAGCGCCUGCUGCAUGGCGGGUGUUGGAAAGUUUUUCGGUGGGGGAUGGGCUCGCGGCCUAUCAGCUUGUUGGUGGGGUAAUGGCCUACCAAGGCGUCGACGGGUAGCCGGCCUGAGAGGGCGACCGGCCACACUGGGACUGAGACACGGCCCAGACUCCUACGGGAGGCAGCAGUGGGGAAUAUUGCACAAUGGGCGAAAGCCUGAUGCAGCGACGCCGCGUGAGGGAUGACGGCCUUCGGGUUGUAAACCUCUUUCAGCAGGGAAGAAGCGCAAGUGACGGUACCUGCAGAAGAAGCGCCGGCUAACUACGUGCCAGCAGCCGCGGUAAUACGUAGGGCGCAAGCGUUGUCCGGAAUUAUUGGGCGUAAAGAGCUCGUAGGCGGUUUGUCGCGUCUGGUGUGAAAACCUCAGGCUCAACCUGGGGCGUGCAUCGGGUACGGGCAGACUAGAGUGCGGUAGGGGAGACUGGAAUUCCUGGUGUAGCGGUGGAAUGCGCAGAUAUCAGGAGGAACACCGAUGGCGAAGGCAGGUCUCUGGGCCGCAACUGACGCUGAGGAGCGAAAGCAUGGGGAGCGAACAGGAUUAG
Molecule: ribosomal RNA, 711 nt
Filed under: Isoptericola sp.
Lineage: Bacteria; Bacillati; Actinomycetota; Actinomycetes; Micrococcales; Promicromonosporaceae
Description: bacterial SSU rRNA
Rfam family: Bacterial small subunit ribosomal RNA
Source: RNAcentral